AGAAGUUUGUGUUUUUAUUCCCAAAAGGAGCACACCCUUUUUUUUUUUUUCCCACCUUUUAGUUGGGCAUUUUAGGGAGAUUCCCGGGUAUAAUCGGGGGGAAGGUGGGGAGGAGUUUAAUUUUUUUUGGCCUUUUUUCCCGGGGUUUACACAUUUUUUAAAUGGGGGGUCAAAGGGGUGGGAAACGGGGAAGGGGGGGGUAUUUCUA
Molecule: ribosomal RNA, 208 nt
Filed under: uncultured bacterium
Lineage: Bacteria
Description: partial 16S ribosomal RNA
Source: RNAcentral